AUGGUAUCAGGCGUGUCCCGCACAGGUCCUUCCCUCCUGCUCCGAGUCCUGCUAUCUUCACAUCCCACAUCCGGACUUCUGGCCUCCUGGAGAAUUGUUUACCUGACACUCAGUGUCUCCAAAGAAAACAAGAUGAGUUUUGCAGAAAGACCCGUCAGGGAAACACGGAGUUGCCAUCUCUCUCCUGCUGGGACUCAUGAUACAAUCAGACUGCUGGGGAAGACAGCUUUAUCUCCCUGCCCCACCUCCCCCUCUGGCUCCUGCAGAAAGCAGACAAAGAGAAGAUGUCCAGAACGGAGAAGAUAACCGGAAUUCUGCUAGAAGUAAAAGGGAAUACAUGUGCAAUAAGAAGAAAUACUCCCAUUGUAAGAAACUCUCCGUUUUCCUGGGAGAAUGUGACCCCCAUAAAAGAUUCAGAAAUUUGCUACCAAUUCAGUAACGGCCUCUGACUUUCCUAGGACGCAGAUGCCUAGAGCCGAGCAUCAUACAGGUUGUGAGCAGAGGGGAUUUUUGUAUUGUCAACUUCUCUGCAUUUUUCACUCCCAAGUUCAUUGGAUUGUUCACCAGAAUCUGUCUUUUUCUUUCCUUUUCCAGUUUGGCCUCUGUGCAUCUCCCUUUGGGCUUUGACCAUGAGGUCUUAGCUCCUGACA
Molecule: long non-coding RNA, 650 nt
Filed under: Mustela putorius furo (domestic ferret)
Lineage: Eukaryota; Metazoa; Chordata; Mammalia; Carnivora; Mustelidae
Description: lncRNA (ENSMPUG00000028216.1)
Source: RNAcentral